Molecule: ribosomal RNA, 497 nt
Filed under: uncultured bacterium
Lineage: Bacteria
Description: partial 16S ribosomal RNA
Rfam family: Bacterial small subunit ribosomal RNA
Source: RNAcentral
GAUGAACGCUGGCGGCGUGCCUAAUACAUGCAAGUCGAGCGAACAGAUGAGGAGCUUGCUCCUCUGACGUUAGCGGCGGACGGGUGAGUAACACGUGGAUAACCUACCUAUAAGACUGGGAUAACUUCGUGAAACCGGAGCUAAUACCGGAUAAUAUAUUGAACCGCAUGGUUCAAUAGUGAAAGACGGUUUUGCUGUCACUUAUAGAUGGAUCCGCGCCGCAUUAGCUAGUUGGUAAGGUAACGGCUUACCAAGGCAACGAUGCGUAGCCGACCUGAGAGAGUGAUCGGCCACACUGGAACUGAGAAGCGGUCAAGACUCCUACGGGAGGCAGCAGGAGGGAAUCUUCCGCAAUGGGCGAAAGCCUGACGGAGCAACGCCGCGUGCGUGAUGAAGGUCGUCGGAUCGUAGAACUCUGUUAUUAGUGAAGAACAAAUGUGUAAGUAACUAUGCACGUCUUGACGGUACCUAAUCAGAAAGCCACGGCUAACUACGUG